RNAcentral lists this ribosomal RNA (456 nucleotides) under uncultured bacterium. RNAcentral describes it as "bacterial SSU rRNA". It matches the Rfam family "Bacterial small subunit ribosomal RNA", at positions 329 to 803 of the family's 1533-position model. The record is from RNAcentral.
UGGCUAACUCCUACGGGAGGCAGCAGUGGGGAAUUUUGGACAAUGGGGGCAACCCUGAUCCAGCCAUGCCGCGUGAGUGAUGAAGGCCCUAGGGUUGUAAAGCUCUUUCACCGGUGAAGAUAAUGACGGUAACCGGAGAAGAAGCUCCGGCUAACUUUGUGCCAGCAGCCGCGGUAAUACGAAGGGGGCUAGCGUUGUUCGGAUUUACUGGGCGUAAAGCGCACGUAGGCGGACUAUUAAGUCAGGGGUGAAAUCCCGGGGCUCAACCCCGGAACUGCCUUUGAUACUGGUAGUCUUGAGUUCGAGAGAGGUGAGUGGAAUUCCGAGUGUAGAGGUGAAAUUCGUAGAUAUUCGGAGGAACACCAGUGGCGAAGGUGGCUCACUGGCUCGAUACUGACGCUGAGGUGCGAAAGCGUGGGGAGCAAACAGGAUUAGAAACCCGGGUAGUCCAGCUGG